RNAcentral lists this long non-coding RNA (513 nucleotides) under Zea mays. RNAcentral describes it as "long non-coding RNA (ZMAY_LNC000233)". The record is from RNAcentral. Lineage: Eukaryota; Viridiplantae; Streptophyta; Magnoliopsida; Poales; Poaceae.
AAACACAUGCAAUCAGUGUGUGAGUGCGUGAGCGCAGCAACCAGCAAGAGGACACCACGCCCUUCCCCCCCUUAUAUAUACCCCAUAUAUCUCAGCUCAGCCACCUCGACCGGCUGCAGCUACCUGCUUGCUUGCUAGCUAGCUCCAAACAGACCGAUAGAUACAACCCCCGGCCCUUCACAUCAUCAGUCCACACACCCAACCCAACAAGCGAGUCACGACUGAAGCUGCAGCCUAAUAGCUAGCCGCUAGCCUAGCAGUCCAAUGAGAAGGCACGGCGCCAGCGAGGCCUCCCCUUCCAUCAUCCACACGUCCUCCAUAGCUCUCCUCCAGGAGAGGUUCAGAAACCUGCAGAAGGUGAAGGAGAUGAGGGAAGGCAGGGAGCUGCAGAGGGUGCACGCUGCUGAUACUACUACUACCACCACCAACCGCACCGCUUCGUCGCCGUCGUCCUCGUCGUCCCUGUCGUCGGCUCUCAGCCUCGGCCUCCAACAGGCCGCCAACGCCAACGAC